UUUAAAAACCAUUUUAACUCAGUUUUCAAUGUGGACUUCUAGCUUUUUCCCAAAUGUUUAGAUGAAGUGUGCCUCGUCUCAAGUGAAGAACUUAACAGUAGCAGAGAUGACAAUCAUUUCAUUCUUCUACAGUUCCAGAACCAGAUUUCAGCUUGAGUCAGUUUUGUGAACAAGCAAUACCGGUCUCUCGAGUAACAGUGACUGUCUUGCCUAGUUCAAUUUGUAUCAUGUUACAGUUUCUUCUCAGCGUAAUAUGACUGGAAUGGAUAAUAACACCGGAGCAGUUUGUCUAAGCACAUGCUGGUCAUCUUGACCAGGACUCGGGCGUUUAAGGAGUGUUACAUAUGGAGAAAAUACAGGUGUGUUUCAAAAGCUGUAGAAUAUUCAAACUAAGGCAGUAUGCUUUGGGGCGGGAGGGGGGUUCCACACUAUUGUAAGAUCCUUGACUAUAUUUCAAUAUUCACAUUCAAUGUUUUGAACACAACUGAUCUUACUGCAGAAUGAAGACCUACAUGCAUAUGAAAUGGCCAAGUAUUUGCACUAACUGCAAGAAAAAAAAAGUGUCUUCAGGAGGACAGGGGCCUUCAAACUAGAAGAUGGGGUCUGCUAGCAGUCAAGCACAGAGCUUGGAGAAGACAACCACCAAGUCUCAGAUGGUCUGGAGCUACUCAGCAAUCUUCUCUACACUCAGAAGUACAUGAGUCCAUGCUACAAUUCAGGCAAGACCAGUUCCUGAUAAUUAUGGAAGUUACAUCUGCAAGAGACUAGUCCAUUCUACAUAAACCACAGAGAGACAAGAGCAUCUAAUCAAGACAUGCACCGGGAGGCAGACUUCCUGCAGGCUUCCAGAUCUGAAAAUGAAACCUACUCCGCUGACAGCUUCAGGUACGGGAAGAAUCGGGGGGAAAAAACGGAAGAAAAAGCCAGACGGACUUAAAGGGGCGGUAAAGAACUACUCAUUUUAAAGUAUCAA
Long non-coding RNA from Lepidothrix coronata (blue-crowned manakin), 973 nucleotides. RefSeq lists it as uncharacterized. The transcript has 4 exons. The record is from RefSeq and is a predicted model, not a curated record. Lineage: Eukaryota; Metazoa; Chordata; Aves; Passeriformes; Pipridae.